RNAcentral lists this ribosomal RNA (468 nucleotides) under uncultured bacterium. RNAcentral describes it as "partial 16S ribosomal RNA". It matches the Rfam family "Bacterial small subunit ribosomal RNA", at positions 28 to 507 of the family's 1533-position model. The record is from RNAcentral.
GACGAACGCUGGCGGCGUGCUUAACACAUGCAAGUCGAACGGAAAGGCCCUGCUUUUGUGGGGUGCUCGAGUGGCAAACGGGUGAGUAACACGUGAGUAACCUGCCCUUGACUUUGGGAUAACUUCAGGAAACUGGGGCUAAUACCGGAUAGGAGCUCCUGCUGCAGGGUGGGGGUUGGAAAGUUUCGGCGGUUGGGGAUGGACUCGCGGCUUAUCAGCUUGUUGGUGGGGUAGUGGCUUACCAAGGCUUUGACGGGUAGCCGGCCUGAGAGGGUGACCGGCCACAUUGGGACUGAGAUACGGCCCAGACUCCUACGGGAGGCAGCAGUGGGGAAUAUUGCACAAUGGGCGGAAGCCUGAUGCAGCAACGCCGCGUGCGGGAUGACGGCCUUCGGGUUGUAAACCGCUUUCGCCUGUGACGAAGCGUGAGUGACGGUAAUGGGUAAAGAAGCACCGGCUAACUACGUG